AAAUUGAAGAGUUUGAUCAUGGCUCAGAUUGAACGCUGGCGGCAGGCCUAACACAUGCAAGUCGAGCGGUAGCACAGAGAGCUUGCUCUCGGGUGACGAGCGGCGGACGGGUGAGUAAUGUCUGGGAAACUGCCUGAUGGAGGGGGAUAACUACUGGAAACGGUAGCUAAUACCGCAUAACGUCGCAAGACCAAAGUGGGGGACCUUCGGGCCUCAUGCCAUCAGAUGUGCCCAGAUGGGAUUAGCUAGUAGGUGGGGUAACGGCUCACCUAGGCGACGAUCCCUAGCUGGUCUGAGAGGAUGACCAGCCACACUGGAACUGAGACACGGUCCAGACUCCUACGGGAGGCAGCAGUGGGGAAUAUUGCACAAUGGGCGCAAGCCUGAUGCAGCCAUGCCGCGUGUGUGAAGAAGGCCUUCGGGUUGUAAAGCACUUUCAGCGGGGAGGAAGGCGUUAAGGUUAAUAACCUUGGCGAUUGACGUUACCCGCAGA
RNAcentral lists this ribosomal RNA (493 nucleotides) under Klebsiella pneumoniae. RNAcentral describes it as "bacterial SSU rRNA". It matches the Rfam family "Bacterial small subunit ribosomal RNA", at positions 1 to 485 of the family's 1533-position model. Lineage: Bacteria; Pseudomonadati; Pseudomonadota; Gammaproteobacteria; Enterobacterales; Enterobacteriaceae. The record is from RNAcentral.